This 1574-nucleotide long non-coding RNA is filed under the name Manihot esculenta (cassava). RNAcentral describes it as "long non-coding RNA (MESC_LNC009579)". Lineage: Eukaryota; Viridiplantae; Streptophyta; Magnoliopsida; Malpighiales; Euphorbiaceae. The record is from RNAcentral.
UCCAAUGGAGUAACAUCUCAUUCAUUAAGCUUGGUUCCCAUGAAAACAUCUUGAAAACAUUUCAUACAAAAGGAAAACAUUUAGCUUACCACCUUGUGAUCAUGUGCAACAACAAGGGACUAACCAACACUAGGCAAAGCACAACUCUACAACGUAUCUUAUAUCCUUUUCUUAACUUUACUCUAUCACUUUACUACACAUUCUUUCCAUUCAUAACCUUUAUACACAUCAUGUCCUUCUAUCAUGUCCACAACUGUACUUCUUUACACCAAUCUUGCAUAAUAUAUAUAUGCCACUCAAACAACUCUAAGCUAGACGAUUACAUACAAAACACUAGCCACAACAUGACUUCGCCAUCUCUGACUUCUCAUAGCUCACUCUGAAGACUUCUGGUCUCCCACAACUAAGAUUGGCCCUGCAAAACUGGGGAAGGGAAAGGGAUGAACUACUAGAGCCCAGUGAGUAGAAACCAUAUAAACAGUUCAUUCACGCAUUACAUGCUCUCAUGAAAUGUGUCACAGCACAAACAUAUCACAUCUCGGAUUAGACAUGAUCCCAGAACUCCCUCUGUCGGUGCCCGGCCCCUAAGGAGCUCCCAGGUCACUACAUGCACUAGAGCCUGGCCCCUAACUACGAGGCUCCCAAAGGUCUUGUCUAGCCAUAACAGGUAGCGGGCUACUGAGAUCGCCUUGGUCCAUCCCAUCAACAGUAAAGAAUGCAAUGCAAUGCAGCAUAAUCGUGAUCUCUAAUGCGAUACAACCUAGUACCACAUAGCAUUCAUGAUGCGUGUCUCAUGCUCAUACUGUCAUUAGCUUUAAACCUUAACUUUAAAACAUGCAUAGUUAGGUCUACUCACCUGAAGCCUUUGCUCCGCUAUCUCUGGGCCAACUCUCACACUGGAACUAAACACCUCGCCUCAGGUCCGAUCCUACACAGGUGGACUCACAUGAGGUGCCAAACAACUCUCACAUAACUCUAAAAUAUCUCCCCAAAGACCCUCUAAAACAUCAUAAACAUGCAUGGAAAAACAUGCAAAGGAAGGCAAAACAGGGCACCUUCGGUGGCACUUUCGGCGGCCGAAAGUCCUCUCCAGAGACGAAAGUCAGGCAUGUUCGGCGGCAGGUUCAGCGGCCGAAACUCCACUCUAGAGACGAAAGUCCAAACUUUCGGAGGCGAGUUUAGGCGGCCUAUCCCACCUCCUCAAGGGUUCGGCGGCCGAAACUCCUUUCGGCGGCCGAACCUGAGUUCCUCCAGAACCCAGAUUCAUGCACCAACACGCCUCCCUACACCUUCCUACCUUUCUUUACAUGCACACAACCUCUUAAAACCAUGCAUAAACCCCUAAACAUGCAUAAACAACCUUAAACUACAACACACAACAUCACAAAGCCACAUAGAGCACACAUAGGCAUAAAGGGUGCCUAAACCCCCUUCAUGCACAACUCAUGCAAACCAUGCAAUUCUACCCUUUCUCCCCAUAAAACUUGCUUAAAACACUAGCAAACAUAAGGAUCAACACGUACCUCUUGAAGAACUAGAGUUGGUGUGAUCCUAACGUCAAAACAAGGAGAAAC